Molecule: transfer RNA, 76 nt
Filed under: Methanomassiliicoccales archaeon
Lineage: Archaea; Methanobacteriati; Thermoplasmatota; Thermoplasmata; Methanomassiliicoccales
Also listed under: 2 other names
Description: tRNA-Pro
Rfam family: tRNA
About the family: Transfer RNA (tRNA) molecules are approximately 80 nucleotides in length. Their secondary structure includes four short double-helical elements and three loops (D, anti-codon, and T loops).
Source: RNAcentral
GGGUCUGUGGGGUAGCUUGGUAUCCUUCCAGCUUGGGGUGCUGGUGACUCCGGUUCAAAUCCGGACAGACCCACCA